RNAcentral lists this ribosomal RNA (579 nucleotides) under Paradyschiria parvula. Its description in RNAcentral is "12S ribosomal RNA". Lineage: Eukaryota; Metazoa; Arthropoda; Insecta; Diptera; Streblidae. The record is from RNAcentral.
UUAUUUUAGUAUAAUUAAUUUAUAAAUUAAUUUAAUAUAAUUAUAUUUUAAAAUUUAAUUAAUAAUUUAUAUAUAUAUAUAUAUAUAUAUAUAUAUAAUGAAGCUUAAAAAAUUUUUUUUAGAAACUAGGAUUAGAUACCCUAUUAUUAAAAUUGUAAUUUUUAAUACUAAGGUAGUAUUAGUUAUGGUCUUGAAACUUAAAAAAUUUGGCGGUAUUUUAAUCUAUUCAGAGGAACCUGUUCUAUAAUUGAUAAUCCACGAUGGACCUUACUUAAACUUGUUUAUCAGUUUAUAUAUCGUUGUUAUAAAAAUUUUUAAAGAAAAAUAAUUUUUGAUAUUUUAAAUAGUAAAGUAAUAUCAAAUCAAGGUGUAGCUAAUGUUUAAGGAGAAAUGGGUUACAAUAAAUUUAUUUAUGGAUAUAAAAAUGAAAUUUUUAUUGAAAAUGGAUUUGAAUGUAAAAUUAUAAAGAUUAAUAAUUUGAUUUUAGCUCUAAAAUAUGUACAUAUCGCCCGUCACUCUUAUUAUUAAGGUAAGAUAAGUCGUAACAUAGUAGAUGUACUGGAAAGUGUAUCUAGAAUG